This 637-nucleotide ribosomal RNA is filed under the name uncultured archaeon. RNAcentral describes it as "bacterial SSU rRNA". It matches the Rfam family "Bacterial small subunit ribosomal RNA", at positions 401 to 1033 of the family's 1533-position model. The record is from RNAcentral.
UGUGUGAAGAAGGCUUAUGGUUGUAAAGCAUUUAAGCGAAGAGGAGGCUCUUUUGGUUAAUACCCAAGAUGAGUGGACGUUACUCGCAGAAUAAGCACCGGCUAACUCUGUGCCAGCAGCCGCGGUAAUACAGAGGGUGCGAGCGUUAAUCGGAUUUACUGGGCGUAAAGCGUGCGUAGGCGGCUUUUUAAGUCGGAUGUGAAAUCCCCGAGCUUAACUUGGGAAUUGCAUUCGAUACUGGGAAGCUAGAGUAUGGGAGAGGAUGGUAGAAUUCCAGGUGUAGCGGUGAAAUGCGUAGAGAACUGGAGGAAUACCGAUGGCGAAGGCAGCCAUCUGGCCUAAUACUGACGCUGAGGUACGAAAGCAUGGGGAGCAAACAGGAUUAGAUACCCUGGUAGUCCAUGCCGUAAACGAUGUCUACUAGCCGUUGGGGUCUUUGAGACUUUAGUGGCGCAGCUAACGCGAUAAGUAGACCGCCUGGGGAGUACGGUCGCAAGACUAAAACUCAAUUGAAUUGACGGGGGCCCGCACAAGCGGUGGAGCAUGUGGUUUAAUUCGAUGCAAAGCGAAGAACCUUACCUGGUCUUGACAUAGUAAGAACUUUCCAGAGAUGGAUUGGUGCCUUCGGGAACUACAU